AGAUUGAACGCUGGCGGCAGGCCUAACACAUGCAAGUCGAGCGGCAGCACGGGUACUUGUACCUGGUGGCGAGCGGCGGACGGGUGAGUAAUGCCUAGGAAUCUGCCUGGUAGUGGGGGGAUAACGCUCGGAAACGGACGCUAAUACCGCAUACGUCCUACGGGAGAAAGCAGGGGGACCUUCGGGCCUUGCGCUAUCAGAUGAGCCUAGGUCGGAUUAGCUAGUUGGUGGGGUAAAGGCUCACCAAGCCAACGAUCUGUAGCUGGUCUGAGAGGACGACCAGCCACACUGGGACUGAGACACGGCCCAGACUCCUACGGGAGGCAGCAGUGGGGAAUUUUGGACAAGUGGGCGCAAGCCUGAUCCAGCAAUGCCGCGUGCAGGAAGAAGGCCUUCGGUUGUAAACUGCUUUGUACGGAACGAACGGUCCUAGGUUAAUACCGUGGGCUAAGUGACGGUACGUAAGGAUAAGCACCGGCUAACUACGUGCCAGCAGCCG
RNAcentral lists this ribosomal RNA (499 nucleotides) under uncultured soil bacterium. RNAcentral describes it as "bacterial SSU rRNA". It matches the Rfam family "Bacterial small subunit ribosomal RNA", at positions 26 to 517 of the family's 1533-position model. The record is from RNAcentral.